CUUGGUCAUUUAGAGGAAGUAAAAGUCGUAACAAGGUUUCCGUAGGUGAACCUGCGGAAGGAUCAUUAACACGUCUUUGUUGGGUUUAUCAUUAAUGUGAUGACCUAAUACUUACUUAUUAACCUGAACGAAAGUGUUCUUUACUUUUUUAUCCUAUUCUCAACAAAAACACCAAUAAUCCGUGUCAAACUGGCAGAUUGAAAACACAAUCUUAUUAUCAUCACGAAUUUACACAACAAUUCUUAGCAACGGAUAUCUAGGCUCUCGCAACGAUGAAGAACGCAGCGAAAUGCGAUACGUAAUGCGAAUUGCAGAAUUCAGUGAAUCAUCAAGUCUUUGAACGCAACUUGCACUCCCGGGAUAUGCCUGGGAGUAUGUCUUUUUGAGCGUCGGUUCAACCUCAUCUGGGGUGGAUUCGUUUCCAUUUUCGAGAAUGAGCGUUUUCCCUUUUUCUUAAUGGAAAUCGCUUGAAGCGCAGCAGUCGGAUGCGUUUAGACCAGCAUCUUUUGGCGUAGAUAAACACGAAUAUUUAUUUAUUUCAGUAUUCGUCUUCUUCUGCACGUCAAAACCACAGCCCUAAACACCUAUCCGCUGCCCCGAUGCAUUUGGUUAUUAAUCUAAGCAUCAAUCAAAUCACCAAUAAAACAAAAACAAUGACCUCAAAUAAGACAAGAGUACCCGCUGAACUUAAGCAUAUCAAUAAGCGGAGGA
Molecule: ribosomal RNA, 711 nt
Filed under: uncultured basal lineage fungus
Lineage: Eukaryota; Fungi
Description: eukaryotic LSU rRNA
Rfam family: 5.8S ribosomal RNA (bases 238-392)
Source: RNAcentral